This 1114-nucleotide long non-coding RNA is filed under the name Salmo salar (Atlantic salmon). Its description in RNAcentral is "lncRNA (ENSSSAG00000118591.1)". The record is from RNAcentral. Lineage: Eukaryota; Metazoa; Chordata; Actinopteri; Salmoniformes; Salmonidae.
UAGCGGUCAAGCAGGGAAAUGGUUCCAAUCGUUUUUCCCAUAAGGGAUUUGAGAAACACUUAAAAUAAGGGCUGCAAGCUCCUGGACAUUAUCUCCAGCUGGAACCUUUGCAAACAGGUCUGCAAUAAGGAGUCCAACAGACAAUGUGAUGUCCCCAUGUACAAGACAGCUCAUGAAGAAAGCUAUCAAGGACAUACCGUCAUCUCCCAGACCCAGACGGGAAGCAAAAGAGAACACUGCAAAUAAAUGAAUUACCUUUUUAUGUACAGUGUGAUGUCUUUACGGUAUUCCUCUCUCUGCUAAGAUGGGCAGAUAAAUUAAUCAUUGACAUUUUCCUGACAUUCUACCGUCUUUUUAAUAUGUUCUUACUAACCAAGCUGCUCACACUUUAUUGAUCCAUUAUGCAAUGUGGUGUAUAUGGGGGGGGGUUAUAUUCUUCAUUUAUAUGGGGGUUAUAUUCUUCAUUAAUAUGGGGCUGUUAUAUUCUUCAUUAAUAUGGUGUAUACGGGGGGGUUAUUCGUCAUUAAUAUGGUGUAUACGGGGGGUUAUUCUUCAUUAAUAUGGUGUAUACGGGGGGUUGUUCUUCAUUAAUAUGGGGGGGGUUAUAUUCUUCAUUUAUAUGGGGGGGGUUAUAUUCUUCAUUAAUAUGGUGUAUACGGGGGGUUAUAUUCUUCAUUAAUAUGGUGUAUACGGGGGGUUAUAUUCUUCAUUAAUAUGGUGUAUACGGGGGGUUAUAUUCUUCAUUAAUAUGGUGUAUACGGGGGGGGUUGUUAUAUUCUUCAUUAAUAUGGUGUAUGCGGGGGGGGGUGUUAUAUUCUUCAUCUAAAUCGCACUGUUUGUGUUAAUCAUUGGUUUUCUUGUGAAUGUAUAAUGCUAUUUGCACUUUAGAGGACAUGUGCUGUUCAUUGUACACUGCUUUAAGUGGUGGGGGUGUUAUAAUCUCAAACAAGUGUUCUGUAUAUAUGCCCUUUGCACAGGUAGACUUCCAUGGUUUAAAAAAAGUAGACUACUUUAUAUUCUGUUUGUACAUUGGCUUUAUGUUGCUCAGUUUUCAAUAUGUAACUAGCAAAAAAGGACUUGGCUCACUGCUUUCAAUAAACAUAUUUGAAAUGGA